Gossypium arboreum is the source of this 129-nucleotide microRNA precursor. It matches the Rfam family "MIR7502 microRNA precursor family". The record is from Rfam. Lineage: Eukaryota; Viridiplantae; Streptophyta; Magnoliopsida; Malvales; Malvaceae.
UAUUAAAAGGUUAAUUCAUUUCUACUGUUAAAAACUGACAUGGUUGACAUAAUAAUCAAGCCACGUGUACCUUAUGCUUACAUACAUAGAUAAGUUUUUAACAAAUAGAAAUUGAUAAAAUUUUGAACA